CAAUGUUGGCUUAAUAUACAGAAUACCAUCACGCACGUAACUUAAAAAAAGAUAGGCAAUUACAUUUCUGCUUUACAAUAGCUCAGUUAAGAUUGGUUGCUGAUACCUGUUCUCGGUAAGGUUAUGUCUAGAAAUUCAAAUUCAUCUUGCCAGAUGAUGGGACCUCUCACCUGACUAUCAGUGUUGGCUUCCGCUUGGCAAAAGACAACCAGAAAAAAUGGAGCAAAAAAAGCAAGCUUCAUGUUUAUUGGUGGCCAACCAUUUGUCACGGGUUUUUUUUUACAACGUUCGAUCAACCGUGUGAAAAGGCGUUUAUCAUAAUUUUGAUUUUGACAACCAUCGGAGAGGAAAAUACCUUCAAUGCAGAAUCGUAAGUGUAAAAUAACAUUAUUAAAAAGAAAAAGAUAGCCACAUUAAACGCUGAAACGAGCAAAAUUAACAAUGAUUUCUGCAUAAAUGUUUUCUCGAGAGAAUGGAUAUUCGCCGAAAACCCAGUAGAAAUGCAGCAUUGAACCGUCGUUUACUAAAAUUGAAAUUGUUGUUUAAUUUUUAAAUAUUUGGUACAACCCAUAUAAGCGGCCGCAUACAAUCGGCUUUGGGGAUCUUUACCGGCCACCGUCGUGAGUGACAGAGUAGAAAAUUCUUACCAAAGCCUCACUAAAACGGAGAAUUCAAACGAAAACUACAGAUUUUGAAAUUAAUAUGUUUUCAUGUACUUUGCUGGUAACAUUUCGUCAUAGGCCUACUACCUGGUUUCACAAUCAUUUGAAUUCACCGUUAUUGACCUUGCUUCAUGCUGUUAUCAGGUGUUGCCACUGACUUCGAGUAUAAAAAUUCAAAUUUAUCCGUUGCGCAGAAAACCGCGCAACGGGUAGCAUUCUUGCUGACCAUUUGAAUUUUAAUCAUAUGAAGCUAGACUAUUGUGACCUUUGUUACGGAGUUCUUAUAUAAUCAUGCGUUGUGUGAGUGUGAAGGAAAGACAAAAAAAGACAGAAAACUUUGCAAUAGAACAGAAGAAUUACUGUCAAUCGGGAACAUUUUAAGAUUCUUUACCUCCACUGUCUUCUUCAUCAGGUGUUGAUGGGACCAAGUCAUUUCGGUUAGCUCUAUAUGAGUAUCUUGACAUUUCUUUUUUGAAUUUUCCGUUUUAAAUAUGUCAGCUUUUGUAUAUCUGAAUUUCAUGUGAAGAUAAAGUAAUGUACCAACAGAAAGAAACAGUCCUUACAUGUAAAAUUAACUCCGAAAAAAUCCGAAAAGAAAUACAGAAAUAUGAAAUAAA
Daphnia magna is the source of this 1279-nucleotide long non-coding RNA. RefSeq lists it as uncharacterized. The record is from RefSeq and is a predicted model, not a curated record. NCBI's taxonomy places the organism in Eukaryota, Metazoa, Arthropoda, Branchiopoda, Diplostraca, Daphniidae. The transcript is spliced from 3 exons.